Molecule: ribosomal RNA, 484 nt
Filed under: uncultured bacterium
Lineage: Bacteria
Description: partial 16S ribosomal RNA
Rfam family: Bacterial small subunit ribosomal RNA
Source: RNAcentral
AUUGAACGCUGGCGGCAGGCCUAACACAUGCAAGUCGAGCGGAUGAAGGGAGCUUGCUCCUGGAUUCAGCGGCGGACGGGUGAGUAAUGCCUAGGAAUCUGCCUGGUAGUGGGGGAUAACGUCCGGAAACGGGCGCUAAUACCGCAUACGUCCUGAGGGUGAAAGUGGGGGAUCUUCGGACCUCACGCUCUCAGAUGAGCCUAGGUCGGAUUAGCUAGUUGGUGGGGUAAAGGCCUACCAAGGCGACGAUCCGUAACUGGUCUGAGAGGAUGAUCAGUCACACUGGAGCUGAGACAGGGUCCAGAGUCCUACGGGAGGCAGCAGUGGGGAAUAUUGGACAAUAGGCGGAAGCCUGAUCCAGCCAUGCCGAGUGUGUGAAGAAGGUCUUCGGAUUGUAAAGCAGUUUAAGUUGGGAGGAAGGGCAGUAAGUUAAUACCUUGCUGUUUUGACGUUACCAACAGAAUAAGCACCGGCUAACUUCGUG